Non-coding RNA from Oryza glumipatula, 196 nucleotides. The record is from Rfam. NCBI's taxonomy places the organism in Eukaryota, Viridiplantae, Streptophyta, Magnoliopsida, Poales, Poaceae.
UCCCAAAAAAAACUUAGGUUUCCGCGUCUAUUGUUUGACCGUCCAUCUUAUUUGAAAAAAAUUAAAAACAUAAGUCAUGCAUAAAGUAUUAUUCAUGUUUUAUCAUUUAACAAUAAUAAUAAUACUAAUCAUAAAAAAAUUUUAUAUAAGACGGACGGUCAAACGUUGGACACGGAAACCCAAGAAUUGAGUCUUU